Neurospora tetrasperma FGSC 2509 is the source of this 93-nucleotide transfer RNA. It matches the Rfam family "tRNA". From Rfam's summary of the family: Transfer RNA (tRNA) molecules are approximately 80 nucleotides in length. Their secondary structure includes four short double-helical elements and three loops (D, anti-codon, and T loops). The record is from Rfam. NCBI's taxonomy places the organism in Eukaryota, Fungi, Ascomycota, Sordariomycetes, Sordariales, Sordariaceae.
GUCACUUUGGCGGAGUGGUUAACGCGCAGCCCUGCUAUUACUUAAUACUAGGCUGUGUCUUCGGACGCGCAGGUUCGAAUCCUGCAGGUGACG